RNAcentral lists this non-coding RNA (21 nucleotides) under Caenorhabditis elegans. Lineage: Eukaryota; Metazoa; Nematoda; Chromadorea; Rhabditida; Rhabditidae. The record is from RNAcentral.
UCCAUUUUGUCCUGUAACUUG